GAUGAACGCUAGCGGGAGGCCUAACACAUGCAAGCCGAGCGGUAGAGUCUCUUCGGAGACUUGAGAGCGGCGCACGGGUGCGGAACACGUGUGCAACCUGCCUUUAUCUGGGGGAUAGCCUUUCGAAAGGAAGAUUAAUACCCCAUAAUAUACUGGAUGGCAUCAUCUGGUAUUGAAAACUCCGGUGGAUAGAGAUGGGCACGCGCAAGAUUAGAUAGUUGGUGAGGUAACGGCUCACCAAGUCAGCGAUCUUUAGGGGGCCUGAGAGGGUGAUCCCCCACACUGGUACUGAGACACGGACCAGACUCCUACGGGAGGCAGCAGUGAGGAAUAUUGGACAAUGGGUGAGAGCCUGAUCCAGCCAUCCCGCGUGUAGGACGACGGCCCUAUGGGUUGUAAACUUCUUUUGUAUAGGGAUAAACCUAGAUACGUGUAUCUAGCUGAAGGUACUAUACGAAUAAGCACCGGCUAACUCCGUG
RNAcentral lists this ribosomal RNA (479 nucleotides) under uncultured bacterium. Its description in RNAcentral is "partial 16S ribosomal RNA". It matches the Rfam family "Bacterial small subunit ribosomal RNA", at positions 28 to 507 of the family's 1533-position model. The record is from RNAcentral.